Molecule: ribosomal RNA, 468 nt
Filed under: uncultured bacterium
Lineage: Bacteria
Description: partial 16S ribosomal RNA
Rfam family: Bacterial small subunit ribosomal RNA
Source: RNAcentral
GACGAACGCUGGCGGCGUGCUUAACACAUGCAAGUCGAACGGAAAGGCCCUGCUUUUGUGGGGUGCUCGAGUGGCGAACGGGUGAGUAACACGUGAGUAACCUGCCCUUGACUUUGGGAUAACUUAAGGAAACUGGGGCUAAUACCGGAUAGGAGCUCCUGCUGCAUGGUGGGGGUGGGAAAGUUUCGGCGGUUGGGGAUGGACUGGCGGCUGAUGAGCUUGUUGGUGGGGUAGUGGCUUACCAAGGCUUUGACGGGUAGCCGGCCUGAGAGGGUGAACGGCCACAUUGGGACUGAGAUACGGCCCAGACUCCUACGGGAGGCAGCAGUGGGGAAUAUUGCACAAUGGGCGGAAGCCUGAUGCAGCAACGCCGCGUGCGGGAUGACGGCCUUCGGGUUGUAAACCGCUUUCGCCUGUGACGAAGCGUGAGUGACGGUAAUGGGUAAAGAAGCACCGGCUAACUACGUG